RNAcentral lists this ribosomal RNA (322 nucleotides) under Rhogostoma sp. RNAcentral describes it as "SSU rRNA". The stretch from base 105 to 322 matches the Rfam family "Eukaryotic small subunit ribosomal RNA", at positions 736 to 955 of the family's 1831-position model. Lineage: Eukaryota; Cercozoa; Thecofilosea; Cryomonadida; Rhogostomidae. The record is from RNAcentral.
GACUUCUGGUCUAAUGCACCUGGCCCGCGGCCGCAAGGUCUGUGAGUGCCGGCGCGCGUUUACCAUCCUUCCAGGAAACGAGUCUUCCCUUUACUGGGCCGGAUUCGGGGUCUGGAUCAUUUACUUUGAAAAAAUUAGAGUGUUUAAAGCAGGCUAUUGCUAUGAAUACAUUAGCAUGGAAUAAUAAUCUAGGACUUCGGUUCUAUUUUGUUGGUUUCUAAAGCUGAAGUAAUGAUUGAUAGGGACAGUUGGGGGUGCUAGUAUUGGCCGGUCAGAGGUGAAAUUCUUGGAUUCGGUCAAGACUAACUUAUGCGAAAGCAUU